CCCGUCGGGCGACGGUCAUACUGUGAACCCCGCCAGGUCCGAAAGGAAGCAACGGCAGCAGCGCUUGCCGGGUGCCCGACACGCAA
This 86-nucleotide signal recognition particle RNA is filed under the name Deltaproteobacteria bacterium. RNAcentral's name for it is "signal recognition particle sRNA small type". It matches the Rfam family "Bacterial small signal recognition particle RNA". From Rfam's summary of the family: The signal recognition particle (SRP) is a universally conserved ribonucleoprotein involved in the co-translational targeting of proteins to membranes. Archaeal SRP consists of a 7S RNA and homologues of the eukaryotic SRP19 and SRP54 proteins. In most bacteria, the SRP consists of a 4.5S RNA and the Ffh protein (a homologue of the eukaryotic SRP54 protein). The record is from RNAcentral. Lineage: Bacteria; Pseudomonadati; Myxococcota; Myxococcia.